This 255-nucleotide ribosomal RNA is filed under the name uncultured bacterium. Its description in RNAcentral is "partial 16S ribosomal RNA". It matches the Rfam family "Bacterial small subunit ribosomal RNA", at positions 99 to 354 of the family's 1533-position model. The record is from RNAcentral.
CGGACGGGUGAGUAACGCGUGGAAAACCUGCCGUAUACUGGGGGAUAACACUUAGAAAUAGGUGCUAAUACCGCAUAAGCGCACAGCUUCGCAUGAAGCGGUGUGAAAAACUCUGGUGGUAUACGAUGGUUCCGCGUCUGAUUAGCUAGUUGGUGGGGUAAUGGCCUACCAAGGCAACGAUCAGUAGCCGGCCUGAGAGGGUGAACGGCCACAUUAGGACUGAGACACGGCCCAAACUCCUACGGGAGGCAGCAG